RNAcentral lists this ribosomal RNA (1538 nucleotides) under metagenome. Its description in RNAcentral is "bacterial LSU rRNA". It matches the Rfam family "Bacterial large subunit ribosomal RNA", at positions 1390 to 2925 of the family's 2925-position model. The record is from RNAcentral.
CCUAAGCCGAGGCCGAAAGGCGUAGGCGAUGGACAACAGGUUGAUAUUCCUGUACCACCUCCUCACCAUUUGAGCAAUGGGGGGACGCAGGAGGAUAGGGUAAGCGCGGUAUUGGAUAUCCGCGUCCAAGCAGUUAGGCUGGGAAAUAGGCAAAUCCGUUUCCCAUAAGGCUGAGCUGUGAUGGCGAGCGAAAUAUAGUAGCGAAGUUCCUGAUUCCACACUGCCAAGAAAAGCCUCUAGCGAGGUGAGAGGUGCCCGUACCGCAAACCGACACAGGUAGGCGAGGAGAGAAUCCUAAGGUGAUCGAGAGAACUCUCGUUAAGGAACUCGGCAAAAUGACCCCGUAACUUCGGGAGAAGGGGUGCUCUGUUAGGGUGCAAGCCCGAGAGAGCCGCAGUGAAUAGGCCCAGGCGACUGUUUAGCAAAAACACAGGUCUCUGCGAAGCCGUAAGGCGAAGUAUAGGGGCUGACGCCUGCCCGGUGCUGGAAGGUUAAGAGGAGCGCUUAGCGUAAGCGAAGGUGCGAAUUGAAGCCCCAGUAAACGGCGGCCGUAACGAUAACGGUCCUAAGGUAGCGAAAUUCCUUGUCGGGUAAGUUCCGACCCGCACGAAAGGCGCAACGAUCUGGGCACUGUCUCAACGAGAGACUCGGUGAAAUUAUAGUACCUGUGAAGAUGCAGGUUACCCGCGACAGGACGGAAAGACCCCGUGGAGCUUUACUGCAGCCUGAUAUUGAAUGUUGGUACAGCUUGUACAGGAUAGGUAGGAGCCUUGGAAACCGGAGCGCCAGCUUCGGUGGAGGCAUCGGUGGGAUACUACCCUGGCUGUAUUGACCUUCUAACCCGCCGCCCUUAUCGGGCGGGGAGACAGUGUCAGGUGGGCAGUUUGACUGGGGCGGUCGCCUCCUAAAAGGUAACGGAGGCGCCCAAAGGUUCCCUCAGAAUGGUUGGAAAUCAUUCGCAGAGUGUAAAGGCACAAGGGAGCUUGACUGCGAGACCUACAAGUCGAGCAGGGACGAAAGUCGGGCUUAGUGAUCCGGUGGUUCCGCAUGGAAGGGCCAUCGCUCAACGGAUAAAAGCUACCCCGGGGAUAACAGGCUUAUCUCCCCCAAGAGUCCACAUCGACGGGGAGGUUUGGCACCUCGAUGUCGACUCAUCGCAUCCUGGGGCUGUAGUCGGUCCCAAGGGUUGGGCUGUUCGCCCAUUAAAGCGGUACGCGAGCUGGGUUCAGAACGUCGUGAGACAGUUCGGUCCCUGUCCGUCGCGGGCGCAGGAAAUUUGAGAGGAGCUGUCCUUAGUACGAGAGGACCGGGAUGGACGCACCGCUGGUGUACCAGUUGUUCUGCCAAGGGCAUCGCUGGGUAGCUAUGUGCGGACGGGAUAAGUGCUGAAAGCAUCUAAGCAUGAAGCCCCCCUCAAGAUGAGAUUUCCCAUUCCGCAAGGAAGUAAGAUCCCUGAAAGAUGAUCAGGUUGAUAGGUCUGAGGUGGAAGUGUGGCGACACAUGGAGCUGACAGAUACUAAUCGAUCGAGGACUUAACC